This 68-nucleotide transfer RNA is filed under the name Scoloplos cf. armiger CB-2006. RNAcentral's name for it is "tRNA-Thr". It matches the Rfam family "tRNA". From Rfam's summary of the family: Transfer RNA (tRNA) molecules are approximately 80 nucleotides in length. Their secondary structure includes four short double-helical elements and three loops (D, anti-codon, and T loops). Further hydrogen bonds mediate the characteristic L-shaped molecular structure. tRNAs have two regions of fundamental functional importance: the anti-codon, which is responsible for specific mRNA codon recognition, and the 3' end, to which the tRNAs corresponding amino acid is attached (by aminoacyl-tRNA synthetases). tRNAs cope with the degeneracy of the genetic code in two manners: having more than one tRNA (with a specific anti-codon) for a particular amino acid; and 'wobble' base-pairing, i.e. permitting non-standard base-pairing at the 3rd anti-codon position. Lineage: Eukaryota; Metazoa; Annelida; Polychaeta; Orbiniidae. The record is from RNAcentral.
GCCAGGGUAGCUUAACCCUAUUUAAAGCGUCGGUCUUGUAAACCGAAUAUGUAUGUUUACCCCUGCCA